Molecule: long non-coding RNA, 4160 nt
Filed under: Brassica napus (rape)
Lineage: Eukaryota; Viridiplantae; Streptophyta; Magnoliopsida; Brassicales; Brassicaceae
Description: long non-coding RNA (BNAP_LNC017741)
Source: RNAcentral
CAACACUCAGAAUGAGAGAUCAAAUGCGAGGGUAGGGAGCCGCGAGGACAACAAUCUAUCUGCUUUUGGUGCUUCUGGUCCAUCCUCUGCUGCUUCUAGAAUGAGGGGGAACCAAGAAGAGCCAAGGAGAAUGCCUGUGCAAUAUACGCCUUCAUCGUAUCAGGUUCAAGCUACUUCGCCACAACAAAUGACCUAUCCGAGGAUGGGUGGUGGUACACACGACAUGAUGCAGAACCUGCCUAGGAUUGCAACUGGAGAGGUACAUUCGAGUUUCCAAUCUCCUCACGGUUUGACAUCGCCUCCUAUGUAUACAUCAACAGCUGCAUAUAUGACAUCUCUGAGCCCGUUUUACAAUCAUAACUUUCAGUCCUCGGGUAUGUACCUCCCUCAGUAUGGUUAUAGCGGUUACCCUCCUGCCUCUGGUGUUGUCCCUCAGUAUAUGAGUGGAUACCCAUCUCAUGAAGCCACUGUUCCUAUGCCAUAUGAUAUCUCAUCGCCUUCUUCGGGCUACAACAACUCCUUCUCUCGUGAAUCCUUUUCACCUACUGCACAGAACACUCCUCUUCAAUCUGUUUGGUGAGAUUGGGCACCAACUUGAUCACCUCAUCAGCCUCUUCCACACGCUUACGCAGGCGUUCGAUCUCCUCCUGGACGCCUAUUACCCAAGGCUGACGAUAAUGAAAUCCAUCAGCCUUGGGGACAACAAAAAAAAACAUCAGACAACAUAAAAAAAAAAUUCUAUACUAAUAUAUGCGUCUGUUGAGGUAUCUCUUACCUCGUAGUUUAUGCAGCUGAAGAAGCGCUUCCCAGGAUGAGUGUCGUGCUCCUCCUUCACCCGAACCUCGUCAAUGAUUCUCCCACCACAGGGACAUCUUCUAGGAAUCCCAUAUUCAGAAUCUGCGACGUAUCCCAACAUGUUGCAGUACUCCUGAUGCCUCUUUGUAUCUCUUCUCUCCUCUGCGGGAUCCAUCUGAACCAGACAAGCAAACGGCUUACAACAAAAUCACAAAAUUAUAUCAUGAACGGAACCCAUAAUGGAACCCACUAUUCGAUAACAAAACGCUUCGAUCUAACCCAAAAUGAAACCCAGAUGACGAUUCGGAACCCUAGAAUCGAAACCCCCAAAACUCGAGUUUGAACCCUACCUCCAAUACCCCACUAAUCGACAACUAAACGGUUCGAUCUUACCCAAAAUGUAACCCAGAUGACGAUUUGGAACCCUAGAAUCGAAACCCCCAAAAUCGAGUUUGAACCCUAAUUUGAGAACCCCACUAAUCGACAUCAAAACGCUUCGAUCUAACGGGUAUUCACUCGACACACACCUAUUCUCGUCGAGGAGACACUCCGUCGUCGAUUCGAUGGAGAAAAGUGGAGAAACGUGAAGAAAAAUCAAAAUCGCUCGAGAGUUCGCCUCUCGGGAGAAAACCCUAGUCUUUUCUGGAAAAUGAGAAAAUGAAUUUCUCUCUGUUUUCGUCGUCGUGACGUCAACAACGCGGCGCCAAUGGAACCGUGACACCUGGCGUGAACCCGCCUCAUACCGAAUCACUUGUAAGAAGCGGGUCGCGGAAAUAAACCCAUUAAAACAUUUCUUUUUCCUAUUCGGGCCUAUGAACCCGAGCCCAUGAACCCCAUUACAACCUUCAAUGUGGAUGCUCUAAAAACUAUAAAUGAGAACAUUAUAAAUCUGAAUACUUCUUCUGUUUUUAAAGAUUAUUACUCGUAUAAUUCUUGUAAAAAUUCUAAUUAGUGGCUAAAAAGAAAAGAAGAAAAAUAAACAAAAGUGUGUAUUGUGUGUAUUUUGGUGGUAGCGAGCAAACAGGCAACAGAGACAGAGCCACGUGAACGUAUCUCUUUCAAUUACAAGUCUCAACACGUGUCGAACCUAGUCAUCACUUUUAGAACAAAUUGACGAAAAAGGGCUUGCGGUACCACCAUUAUCAAAACCAUACAGGGGGUGUUCCAGUCAUUACCUAGUUAAGAGGACGUCUUCGUGUGCGAAUCCGUCGUGAUUCUUAAUUAAGUUUUGGUUAAUGUUUUGUUAAAAUACGUAAAAAUUAAAGAUUAACAUCCCAAUAAUUGCCUUUAGAAAUUAAAGAAAAAAAACAUUAACUCUUGACUUGGUGACUCGACGAAAGCCUUGGAGACAAACUUUUCAAAGGGGUUAGUUUUAAUCUCUCUGGGUCUCAUCUCAUCGCUGCAACAAUUUCAUAUCAAGAAAAAAAAACACUUUCAUGGAGGCUUAAACAUCACCACCAUCAGGUAACUCUUUAACUCUUAGCUUCAGCCUAAGUUUUUGUGUUCUUUCACAAGUUAUGCAAGGAGCUAGUUUUAAAUGAAUAAAGAAGGAUAAAGUGAAGUUUCUGUUUAUUAGAAUUUUGAUCCUCGGUUAUAUAUGGGACUUUUACUCUUUGUAACGAGGUUGAUGAACGAGUCCAGUACUUUUAAAAAGAUGAUCCUUGUAAGUUCUUGCUGAUGGUUGUUUGGGUUGACUAAACUUUUUUAGCUUGUGAAAUGGUAGAAUCGUGUCUGAAAUUUUUCGAUCCUUGAUUGUCGAUUACACAUAGACUCAAAAAUAAACGUUGAUCAUUGAAAGUUUGGGAUCAAGUUCUCAGCUUUUUGAUUCUCUUAUGGACUAAGGUUUUAGCUUUACCCUUUUUGGGUUAGGUAGUAUUAUUAUUAUGUAAUCAAUCACCUUGUCUGAAAAUUUUGAAUUUGUUUUGGUUGAUGUAUAGAAAGUAUGACGACGCAGAGCGCUAUGAGGAUGGUGGAAGGUGAUCAUGUAAAAAGUUGGCAGGCUUCCUCUAGGGAUACUAGUGGGAUAUUUGGUUCACAUGAUAUGGCUGUUGAAGAUUUAAGGUUCCUUAUGGAAAGAAAUAGAUUGGAUAGUAGUGGAAGUGAUCAUACAGGUAAGAUCCCUAGUAGGAGUGGAAGCGCGCCGCCUAGCAUGGAAGGUUCAUUUGCAGCUCUUAGGAAUCUCUUGAAACAUCAGGAAGGUAGUUUUAGUAGGUCUAUUGAGAAUUAUGGCUCUGAAGAAGAGAUACGUAGCGAUCCUGGUUAUGUAGCUUACUAUUUGUCCAACAUCAACCUGAAUCCGAGGCUCCCUCCUCCGUUGAUCUCACGUGAGAAUCAGCACUUGCUGCGUCAUUUGGGUGGUGAUGGUAAUAACCUGAGUCCAACAGCGUCUUGGGAUGAUAUGGGGAUAAGAUCUUCCUUGCUUGCUUCUAGAACUGCGCUUUCUACACAUAGAGAGGAGCCUGAGGACGAGGCUUCUUCUGGUGAGCAACUGACUUAUGCUUCUUUGCCUGGUCGUCGUAAGAGCUUUGCUGAUAUCAUUCAGGUACUGCUUGAUUCUAUCACUUGUUUCUAAAAAUAUUAAGGAAGAUUCUCUCUUUUAACACUUUCUUUUGUGUUCAAGCGGCCUCAUUCGGCAGGGAACCAUCCAAUAGCAGAAGACAUCCAUGCCAUUUCUUCUGGUAUAGCUUCAGAAAGGACAAGAAGGUUACCAGAGUCUGAUGUAAGUUCGGUGAAUCUUCUGAGGGAGACAGAUUCUCUCUCCAUGGAGGCUAUUGCUAGUGAAGAUCCUUUUACCUCUGAGUUGAGCUCACAAAGUUCAACCAACACGCAGAAUGAGAGAUCAAAUGCGAGGGUAGGGAGCCGCGAGGACAACAAUCUAUCUGCUUUUGGUGCUUCUGGUCCAUCCUCUGCUGCUUCUAGAAUGAGGGGGAACCAAGAAGAGCCAAGGAGAAUGCCUGUGCAAUACACACCUUCAUCAUACCAGGUUCAAGCUACUUCGCCUCAACAAAUGACCUAUCCGAGGAUGGGUGGUGGUACACACGACAUGAUGCAGAACUUGCCAAGGAUUGCAACUGGAGAGGUACAUUCGACUUUCCAAUCUCCUCACGGUUUGACAUCGCCUCCUAUGUAUACAUCUACAGCUGCAUACAUGACAUCUCUGAGCCCGUUUUACAAUCAUCAUAACUUUCAGUCCUCUGGCAUGUACCUCCCUCAGUAUAAUUACGGCGGUUACCCUCCUGUCUCUGGCGUUGUCCCUCAGUAUAUGAGUGGAUACCCAUCUCAUGAAGCUACCGUUCCUAUGCCAUAUGAUAUCUCAUCGCCUUCUUCGGGCUACAACAACUCCUUCUCUCGUGGAUCCUUUUCAC